Non-coding RNA from Poecilia reticulata (guppy), 481 nucleotides. The record is from RefSeq and is a predicted model, not a curated record. Lineage: Eukaryota; Metazoa; Chordata; Actinopteri; Cyprinodontiformes; Poeciliidae.
UUUUUUUUAGUUCUGCCGGUUCUGCUGCUGGUACCGCAGCGUGUUCUGGUUCUGGUCUAUAAACGAGAAACCUCUCCUGCAGCUUCCCCUCGUUUCACACCGUCUGGACCUCGCCUGGUUGCCAUGGAGACGGCGUCACGUGACCGCAGGGGGGUCGGCGCUCCGGUGACGAAACAGACUCGCCACUGUGUGUGUGUGUCUGUCUGAGCUGAACCGGGUCCAGCGACACCAGCGAGGGUCCCGGGUCCACUUCACACCUCACGUCCCAGUUUCCAUGGCGACCAGCGGCGGGGAGACAAAAGCCGCCAGAAACGGCUCCUUUCAAGUCAUCUGGAAAAACGAUCCAAACCAACCUCUAAACCGUGGAAAGUUACCACCGUCGCCAUGGUAACGGCCGGAGACGACCUGGAGAUUUCCAGUAAACUGCCGCAGAAGCAAAAGUAAAAGCUGGGGGGGGGGGGGAAAUCACAGGGAAUUCCCA